RNAcentral lists this ribosomal RNA (324 nucleotides) under uncultured beta proteobacterium. RNAcentral's name for it is "bacterial SSU rRNA". It matches the Rfam family "Bacterial small subunit ribosomal RNA", at positions 171 to 490 of the family's 1533-position model. The record is from RNAcentral. Lineage: Bacteria; Pseudomonadati; Pseudomonadota; Betaproteobacteria.
GCAUAAUCUCUGAGGAGAAAAGCAGGGGAUCGCAAGACCUUGCGCUUUUGGAGCGGCCGAUGCCUGAUUAGCUUGUUGGUAAGGUAAAAGCUUACCAAGGCUUCGAUCAGUAGCUGGUCUGAGAGGACGGCCAGCCACACUGGGACUGAGACGCGGCCCAGACUCCUACGGGAGGCAGCAGUGGGGAAUUUUGGACAAUGGGGGCAACCCUGAUCCAGCCAUGCCGCGUGAGUGAAGAAGGCCUUCGGGUUGUAAAGCUCUUUCAGCCGGAACGAAACGGUUACGGUUAAUACCCGUGACUACUGACGGUACCGGAAGAAGAAG